GUUUCAGCUGCCACUUCAGUGAUGGAUUUGUAAAUAUUUGUUGCUCUUUUCUCCCGAGGCGUGCUGUGUGCUCGCUCCCUGGGAAGCAGGAUUGUUUGGCCAUUUCACAGAGAGGGAGCCUGAGGGCCUGGAAACUGAAGGCCCAAAGUCAUGAAGGAAACCUGGGGAAGAGCCAGGAUGACGAUGAAGAUCUCUCGAGUCCAAGGGCUUUUUCCAUUCUUUGGAUCAAACACGUGCAGGCAGAACCAAGCUUUUUGAUUGGCUGGAAAAAGGGGCCGAUGCGGGUGGACUUCUGAGCGGUGUUGUGAGCACGCAGGUCUCAGACUGUUUCUGCGGGGCUGAAGGGAAUGACUUC
This 355-nucleotide long non-coding RNA is filed under the name Equus asinus (donkey). Its description in RNAcentral is "lncRNA (ENSEASG00005029725.1)". Lineage: Eukaryota; Metazoa; Chordata; Mammalia; Perissodactyla; Equidae. The record is from RNAcentral.